This is a non-coding RNA of Podarcis lilfordi (Lilford's wall lizard), 75 nucleotides long. Lineage: Eukaryota; Metazoa; Chordata; Lepidosauria; Squamata; Lacertidae. The record is from the annotation of a GenBank genome assembly.
AUCCUGGAUAGCUCAGUUGGUUGGAGUGUGGUGCUGACAAGGCCAAGGUCGCAGGUUCGAUCCCUGUAUGGGACA